Long non-coding RNA from Mirounga angustirostris (Northern elephant seal), 906 nucleotides. RefSeq lists it as uncharacterized. The record is from RefSeq and is a predicted model, not a curated record. Lineage: Eukaryota; Metazoa; Chordata; Mammalia; Carnivora; Phocidae. The transcript is spliced from 3 exons.
CAGCACCGGGCCAAGCCGUGGUUUAGACACCGGGUUCACAAUGAUCAAUGGAGCUAUGGAAACAGCAGACAUCGCGCCAGAGCCUGCUGGCCUCCCAUCUGGAGCCUCACAGGCACUGAAGGCGGAGCUGGAGGAACUUGGACUGACUUGCCAGGGUUGGAUUGUGCAGCCUGGCAGGGGUAUCCUGAAGUAAGAAACACCUGGGAGCUGAAUUGUUGCAGAAGCCCUGGACCCCAGCAGACGGUGAUAAGGAUGGUAUAGUGAAAACAAGUCUCUGGUCUCCCAGGAAAACAUGAGAUGCCUCCAGUCUCAGCCCUGCUAAUCUGUGUCACCAGGCAGGUGCUACUGGAAUGGGAAUUUUCCAGUACUAACAAACAAGCAACAGUGGUUAAGAUACAAGGUCCCAGCCCAUAAGGGGCUUUUGUUAUGACAGCCUCCCCUGAGAUCUGCCACAGCUGGACAAGGAGAAUGCUACUCGUACCUGUGGAUCUUGGAACCCCACUCUACUUGGCCACCAAGGAGCACCCAGGUAAGUGCACCCUCUGGAUGGCAGAGACCAGAGAGAAUAUUCUCACUGAUCAUAAAACCAAGCUCUUAGAACAUAGAAUAAGAUGAAAAGAAAAAACCUUAUUUGGAUCUUACAUAGGGGACCUACAGCAAAGUUUGUCCAAGCAGGUGUCAGUCUGAGGAGAACUAUGAAAUCAACAGUCUGUGAGGCUCACUUGAACAGCAGGCUUAAAAAAGUCCUGCAUUAUGUCCUAUGGUAAUUCCUUUUUAUUACAAAUGCCAAAAGAGAGAGAAAGAUAAACGGUGACCAUCUCUGGGAGGAAAUGAAAUCUGUCAAACCAAGAGUAUGCUGCCAAAUUUUCCAGAGUCACUAAGCUCAAGAAAGUAGUUCCACAAAUA